Molecule: ribosomal RNA, 253 nt
Filed under: uncultured bacterium
Lineage: Bacteria
Description: partial 16S ribosomal RNA
Rfam family: Bacterial small subunit ribosomal RNA
Source: RNAcentral
UACGUAGGGUGCGAGCGUUGUCCGGAAUUAUUGGGCGUAAAGGGCUCGUAGGCGGUCUGUCGCGUCGGGAGUGAAAACUCAGGGCUUAACCCUGAGCCUGCUUCCGAUACGGGCAGACUAGAGGUAUGCAGGGGAGAACGGAAUUCCUGGUGUAGCGGUGAAAUGCGCAGGAUAUCAGGAGGAACACCGGUGGCGAAGGCGGUUCUCUGGGCAUUACCUGACGCUGAGGAGCGAAAGUGUGGGGAGCGAACAG